Apis cerana (Asiatic honeybee) is the source of this 1057-nucleotide long non-coding RNA. RefSeq lists it as uncharacterized. The record is from RefSeq and is a predicted model, not a curated record. Lineage: Eukaryota; Metazoa; Arthropoda; Insecta; Hymenoptera; Apidae.
AGUUCGACGAGGAGGCUAGACUGCAAUCGACAGUACAAGACGUGUUAGCUUUAUUUCAAGAUACGAAAGUUCGGCCACUCCGCUUCCGGAAUCCGCGCUGUCUCUUCGUGCCACGAGACGAGAGUAUUCCAUUCGAAUCUUGGAUUCGUUCGAUGACCAUCCUCGAUCACCAGGCCGCCUUAAGCUUUCCUUCUCCUAUAAAUUAUUGCAACGAAUUUCCCGCGAAUCGAUAUUAAAGGAAACAUUCUCCAACCCCAAAGAGACAAAGUUCUUCUAAAAAGCAGUAGAGGAUGAUCAAAUCCGCCAGCCACUAUGACAAUAAAAUUUAUCACCGAACUGUAUAUUUCUUCGUUCCUGGCCUCUUAAAAUUGCCCCUGUUCGCGAGCUCGAAGAAAAGACGAAAUCGAAGAGAGGCGAGAAGGAGGAGGGGUGUGAAAAAAUAAUAGGGGGAUGACAUCGGUGCGUACAGAGCCGAUAAAAAUCGUUGACAACAGUCGUGCCGUAAAUUUCUCGCGGGAGAGAGAGAGAAGGGGGAGAGGAGGAGAAGGAGAAAGAAUUAUUGCUGCCGGAUAAAGGCAAGGAAACAACGACGAUCCUGACCAAAAGUGCAUGCAGCGCACGUGGAGGCAACCCCAAGUCGCGGGGAGAUGUGGCGUUACUGACAUUAACUUACGUUACUUUUGCUCUUCGUUCUUCUCUUCUCCGAGCGUGACUCAACGAAAGGGUAAAAAAAGAAAAAAGAAGAAGAAAAAAAAAAUAAAAAGGAAAAAAAAAGUUCGAUGGACCGAGAUGGAAACACGAUGACAAAGAAAAUUGCGGGUUGCGACUUAAUCCGUGCAUUGUUUCCCAUUUGAGAUUUUUAAGCUCCCCCGUCUUUCUCUUUGAUGAUCUCUUUGAUCUUUGUCGAUUGUUGUUGAAUUAGAAGAACGUAUGGAUAAAUUCGAGAUUUAUUACAUAUCGUAGAAGGAUCUGACAGAUUCUUAAUUUAAUUAAGAGCAAUAUAAAUUUGAACUUGUAUUGUAAUUUGUAAGAAUAAAGGAAUUAGAAGAAAAUUAAA